This 303-nucleotide ribosomal RNA is filed under the name uncultured bacterium. RNAcentral describes it as "bacterial SSU rRNA". It matches the Rfam family "Bacterial small subunit ribosomal RNA", at positions 355 to 674 of the family's 1533-position model. The record is from RNAcentral.
UGGGGAAUAUUGCACAAUGGGGGAAACCCUGAUGCAGCGACGCCGCGUGAGUGAAGAAGUAAUUCGUUAUGUAAAGCUCUAUCAGCAAGGAAGAAAAAAGACGGUACUUGACUAAGAAGCCCCGGCUAAAUACGUGCCAGCAGCCGCGGUAAUACGUAUGGGGCAAGCGUUAUCCGGAUUUACUGGGUGUAAAGGGAGCGUAGACGGCAUGGCAAGUCUGAUGUGAAAGGCUGGGGCUCAACCCCGGGACUGCAUUGGAAACUGUCUGGCUGGAGUGCGGGAGAGGUAAGUGGAAUUCCUAGU